This 1360-nucleotide ribosomal RNA is filed under the name Salmonella enterica. Its description in RNAcentral is "partial 23S ribosomal RNA". It matches the Rfam family "Bacterial large subunit ribosomal RNA", at positions 1589 to 2925 of the family's 2925-position model. Lineage: Bacteria; Pseudomonadati; Pseudomonadota; Gammaproteobacteria; Enterobacterales; Enterobacteriaceae. The record is from RNAcentral. RNAcentral also lists the same sequence under 1 other name.
AGCAACAAAUGCCCUGCUUCCAGGAAAAGCCUCUAAGCAUCAGGUAACAUCAAAUCGUACCCCAAACCGACACAGGUGGUCAGGUAGAGAAUACCAAGGCGCUUGAGAGAACUCGGGUGAAGGAACUAGGCAAAAUGGUGCCGUAACUUCGGGAGAAGGCACGCUGACACGUAGGUGAAGUGAUUUACUCAUGGAGCUGAAGUCAGUCGAAGAUACCAGCUGGCUGCAACUGUUUAUUAAAAACACAGCACUGUGCAAACACGAAAGUGGACGUAUACGGUGUGACGCCUGCCCGGUGCCGGAAGGUUAAUUGAUGGGGUCAGCGCAAGCGAAGCUCCUGAUCGAAGCCCCGGUAAACGGCGGCCGUAACUAUAACGGUCCUAAGGUAGCGAAAUUCCUUGUCGGGUAAGUUCCGACCUGCACGAAUGGCGUAAUGAUGGCCAGGCUGUCUCCACCCGAGACUCAGUGAAAUUGAACUCGCUGUGAAGAUGCAGUGUACCCGCGGCAAGACGGAAAGACCCCGUGAACCUUUACUAUAGCUUGACACUGAACAUUGAGCCUUGAUGUGUAGGAUAGGUGGGAGGCUUUGAAGUGUGGACGCCAGUCUGCAUGGAGCCGACCUUGAAAUACCACCCUUUAAUGUUUGAUGUUCUAACGUGGACCCGUAAUCCGGGUUGCGGACAGUGUCUGGUGGGUAGUUUGACUGGGGCGGUCUCCUCCUAAAGAGUAACGGAGGAGCACGAAGGUUGGCUAAUCCUGGUCGGACAUCAGGAGGUUAGUGCAAUGGCAUAAGCCAGCUUGACUGCGAGCGUGACGGCGCGAGCAGGUGCGAAAGCAGGUCAUAGUGAUCCGGUGGUUCUGAAUGGAAGGGCCAUCGCUCAACGGAUAAAAGGUACUCCGGGGAUAACAGGCUGAUACCGCCCAAGAGUUCAUAUCGACGGCGGUGUUUGGCACCUCGAUGUCGGCUCAUCACAUCCUGGGGCUGAAGUAGGUCCCAAGGGUAUGGCUGUUCGCCAUUUAAAGUGGUACGCGAGCUGGGUUUAGAACGUCGUGAGACAGUUCGGUCCCUAUCUGCCGUGGGCGCUGGAGAACUGAGGGGGGCUGCUCCUAGUACGAGAGGACCGGAGUGGACGCAUCACUGGUGUUCGGGUUGUCAUGCCAAUGGCACUGCCCGGUAGCUAAAUGCGGAAGAGAUAAGUGCUGAAAGCAUCUAAGCACGAAACUUGCCCCGAGAUGAGUUCUCCCUGAGACUUUAGGUCUCCUGAAGGAACGUUGAAGACGACGACGUUGAUAGGCCGGGUGUGUAAGCGCAGCGAUGCGUUGAGCUAACCGGUACUAAUGAACCGUGAGGCUUAACCUU